AGAAUAAGCACCGGCUAACUUCGUGCCAGCAGCCGCGGUAAUACGAAGGGUGCAAGCGUUAAUCGGAAUUACUGGGCGUAAAGCGCGCGUAGGUGGUUCAGCAAGUUGGAUGUGAAAUCCCCGGGCUCAACCUGGGAACUGCAUCCCAAACUACUGACCCUACAGUACGGUAGAGGGUGGUGGAAUUUC
Molecule: ribosomal RNA, 189 nt
Filed under: Pseudomonas aeruginosa
Lineage: Bacteria; Pseudomonadati; Pseudomonadota; Gammaproteobacteria; Pseudomonadales; Pseudomonadaceae
Description: partial 16S ribosomal RNA
Rfam family: Bacterial small subunit ribosomal RNA
Source: RNAcentral